Molecule: long non-coding RNA, 939 nt
Organism: Hibiscus syriacus
Lineage: Eukaryota; Viridiplantae; Streptophyta; Magnoliopsida; Malvales; Malvaceae
Exons: 3
Source: RefSeq, a predicted model, not a curated record
CACAACAAAAACAGGCCUCUCUUUAUCUGUUUCUCUUUAGCUAUGGUUCGAUCCCCUUUUGCUCAACAGACUUGGCACUCGAGCCCACUCUGCUUCAUGAUGGUGUCGGAAGGCGACCAUUGCUGGCUCUCCAUUCCGUAAUUCAUCAAUUCAGUGUCAGUUUUGAAGGUCACUCCUCUACUUGGACGCUCGUCUUGAUGCUUCAUUUUGAUUUAGUUUCUGGCCAUGGAAGACCUCGCAAUAACCUACUAGUAAGCUGUGGAAAGGGCAAUGAAAGACCUGAAAAUUACUUGGAGGAUGAGUCUGAGUGAGAAAUGAUGAUAAUAACAGUGAUAGAUGAGAAUGAGAAUCGAGGUGAACUUAACGAGUGCAAUGGUAAAACCCUGUCAGCUUUUGAGUCUAUACUGAAGAACAUGAUGCGUAAGGUGACAAAUUGGGCUUGACUUUUGGGGUUGUGGUUGUGGAUUACGAUGGGUUGUAGUCACAACAAAAGCAGUUCAGGCUGCAACUUUUGUUGUUACCUAAUAUGCAUAGAUCUCUUCCACCGAGUAAAGUGUGGGUUUGAGAAUCCUAAACUUAUAGCAUAAUGAUUUGGUUAAACACAAUUCUAAACUUGUUGGGGGCUUCUAUGUUGCUUUUUUGGAAUUGUUUUUGGAGGUUGGCACUUGGGCCUAAGUUGCUAUUGAAAUUAAGCUAUUUUUGAGAUUUUCUGAAUCCAAAUAUCCAUUGCCUUGCAUGUGAUUUAGCUACUAUUUAUCCUGUUGAGGUUUUUCCAUAUUUGAAGUUUUCUAGAUCGUUGAAACGUAGAUUGGUCUUCUGUCUGCGGCAUUUGAUUAUCUGUUUUAUAGUUCUGACUUAGAUUAUGUGCUGAAUUGGGAAUAGUUUGAUAGGGUCAUAUUGUCGCGCAGGUUGCAUUUAUGAUGUAUAUGUGAAAACCAU